This 17-nucleotide unclassified non-coding RNA is filed under the name Mus musculus (house mouse). Its description in RNAcentral is "oocyte_clustered_small_RNA11200". The record is from RNAcentral. Lineage: Eukaryota; Metazoa; Chordata; Mammalia; Rodentia; Muridae.
UCUACGGCAUUAGAAGC